GAUGAACGCUAGCGGCAGGCCUAACACAUGCAAGUCGAGGGGUAACAGAAAAGCUUGCUUUUGCUGACGACCGGCGCACGGGUGCGUAACGCGUAUGCAACCUACCUCAUACUGGAGGAUAGCCCCUGGAAACGGGGAUUAAUACUCCAUAGUAUCACAAUUUCGCAUGUUAUUGUGAUUAAAGUUUUUCGGUAUGAGAUGGGCAUGCGUCCCAUUAGCUUGUUGGUGAGGUAACGGCUCACCAAGGCAACGAUGGGUAGGGGGCCUGAGAGGGUGGUCCCCCACACUGGUACUGAGACACGGACCAGACUCCUACGGGAGGCAGCAGUGAGGAAUAUUGGUCAAUGGAGGAAACUCUGAACCAGCCAUGCCGCGUGAAGGAUGACGGCCCUAUGGGUUGUAAACUUCUUUUAUAGAGGAAGAAACUUGUCUACGUGUAGACAACUGACGGUACUCUACGAAUAAGGAUCGGCUAACUCCGUGCCAGCAGCCGCGGUAAUACGGAGGAUCCAAGCGUUAUCCGGAUUCAUUGGGUUUAAAGGGUCCGUAGGCGGAUUUUUAAGUCAGUGGUGAAAGCCGACAGCUCAACUGUCGAACUGCCAUUGAUACUGGAAAUCUUGAGUACAAAUGAAGUAGGCGGAAUGAGUCAUGUAGCGGUGAAAUGCAUAGAUAUGACUCAGAACACCGAUUGCGAGGGCAGCUUACUAACAUGUAACUGACGCUGAGGGACGAAAGCGCGGGGAGCGAACAGGAUUAGAUACCCUGGUAGUCCACGCCGUAAACGAUCAUCACUCGCUGUUGGCGAUAUACUGUCAGCGGCCAAGCGAAAGUAUUAAGUGAUGCACCUGGGGAGUACGCCGGCAACGGUGA
RNAcentral lists this ribosomal RNA (870 nucleotides) under uncultured marine bacterium. RNAcentral's name for it is "bacterial SSU rRNA". It matches the Rfam family "Bacterial small subunit ribosomal RNA", at positions 28 to 897 of the family's 1533-position model. The record is from RNAcentral.